Molecule: unclassified non-coding RNA, 280 nt
Filed under: uncultured Herpotrichiellaceae
Lineage: Eukaryota; Fungi; Ascomycota; Eurotiomycetes; Chaetothyriales; Herpotrichiellaceae
Description: sequence contains ITS2
Rfam family: 5.8S ribosomal RNA (bases 1-54)
Source: RNAcentral
UGAACGCACAUUGCGCCCAUUGGUAUUCCGAUGGGCAUGCCUGUUCGAGCGUCAUUAUCAACCCUCAAGCCCCCCGGCUUGGUGUUGGAGGCCAGGUCUCGGUGCCCCCGAGACCGCUCCCAAAGACAAUGACGGCGGCCACGAGCGACCCCCGGCACACUGAGCUUUUAACCGAGCACGUGCUGGAUGGGCCUCGGGGUCACGGUCUGCCUCCCCUCAGGGAGAAUAACUUUUUAUCAAGGUUGACCUCGGAUCAGGUAGGGAUACCCGCUGAACUUAA